Molecule: ribosomal RNA, 1315 nt
Filed under: Paenarthrobacter aurescens
Lineage: Bacteria; Bacillati; Actinomycetota; Actinomycetes; Micrococcales; Micrococcaceae
Description: bacterial SSU rRNA
Rfam family: Bacterial small subunit ribosomal RNA
Source: RNAcentral
UGGCGAACGGGUGAGUAACACGUGAGUAACCUGCCCUUGACUCUGGGAUAAGCCUGGGAAACUGGGUCUAAUACCGGAUACGACCAUCUGGCGCAUGUCAUGGUGGUGGAAAGCUUUUGUGGUUUUGGAUGGACUCGCGGCCUAUCAGCUUGUUGGUGGGGUAAUGGCCUACCAAGGCGACGACGGGUAGCCGGCCUGAGAGGGUGACCGGCCACACUGGGACUGAGACACGGCCCAGACUCCUACGGGAGGCAGCAGUGGGGAAUAUUGCACAAUGGGCGCAAGCCUGAUGCAGCGACGCCGCGUGAGGGAUGACGGCCUUCGGGUUGUAAACCUCUUUCAGUAGGGAAGAAGCGAAAGUGACGGUACCUGCAGAAGAAGCGCCGGCUAACUACGUGCCAGCAGCCGCGGUAAUACGUAGGGCGCAAGCGUUAUCCGGAAUUAUUGGGCGUAAAGAGCUCGUAGGCGGUUUGUCGCGUCUGCUGUGAAAGACCGGGGCUCAACUCCGGUUCUGCAGUGGGUACGGGCAGACUAGAGUGCAGUAGGGGAGACUGGAAUUCCUGGUGUAGCGGUGAAAUGCGCAGAUAUCAGGAGGAACACCGAUGGCGAAGGCAGGUCUCUGGGCUGUAACUGACGCUGAGGAGCGAAAGCAUGGGGAGCGAACAGGAUUAGAUACCCUGGUAGUCCAUGCCGUAAACGUUGGGCACUAGGUGUGGGGGACAUUCCACGUUUUCCGCGCCGUAGCUAACGCAUUAAGUGCCCCGCCUGGGGAGUACGGCCGCAAGGCUAAAACUCAAAGGAAUUGACGGGGGCCCGCACAAGCGGCGGAGCAUGCGGAUUAAUUCGAUGCAACGCGAAGAACCUUACCAAGGCUUGACAUGAACCGGAAAGACCUGGAAACAGGUGCCCCGCUUGCGGUCGGUUUACAGGUGGUGCAUGGUUGUCGUCAGCUCGUGUCGUGAGAUGUUGGGUUAAGUCCCGCAACGAGCGCAACCCUCGUUCUAUGUUGCCAGCGCGUUAUGGCGGGGACUCAUAGGAGACUGCCGGGGUCAACUCGGAGGAAGGUGGGGACGACGUCAAAUCAUCAUGCCCCUUAUGUCUUGGGCUUCACGCAUGCUACAAUGGCCGGUACAAAGGGUUGCGAUACUGUGAGGUGGAGCUAAUCCCAAAAAGCCGGUCUCAGUUCGGAUUGGGGUCUGCAACUCGACCCCAUGAAGUCGGAGUCGCUAGUAAUCGCAGAUCAGCAACGCUGCGGUGAAUACGUUCCCGGGCCUUGUACACACCGCCCGUCAAGUCACGAAAGUUGGUAACACCC